Molecule: ribosomal RNA, 216 nt
Filed under: uncultured bacterium
Lineage: Bacteria
Description: partial 16S ribosomal RNA
Rfam family: Bacterial small subunit ribosomal RNA
Source: RNAcentral
ACGCUCGACACCUACGAGAGGCAGCAGUAGGGAAUCUUCCACAAUGGGCGCAAGCCUGAUGGAGCAACACCGCGUGAGUGAAGAAGGGUUUCGGCUCGUAAAGCUCUGUUGUUGGAGAAGAACGUGCGUGAGAGUAACUGUUCACGCAGUGACGGUAUCCAACCAGAAAGUCACGGCUAACUACGUCNCNNNCGCGAGUAUNGNGGCGNGNGAGAG